GAGCGGUAACAGGUGUAGCAAUACAUGCUGACGAGCGGCGAACGGGUGAGUAACGCUUCGGAAUCUGCCCAAUGGUGGGGAAUAACCAGCCGAAAGGUUGGCUAAUACCGCAUACGCCCUACGGGGGAAAGCGGGGGAUCGCAAGACCUCGCGCCGAUGGAUGAGCCGAAGCCGGAUUAGCUAGUUGGUAGGGUAACGGCCUACCAAGGCGACGAUCCGUAGCUGGUCUGAGAGGACGACCAGCCACACUGGGACUGAGACACGGCCCAGACUCCUACGGGAGGCAGCAGUGGGGAAUAUUGGACAAUGGGGGAAACCCUGAUCCAGCGACGCCGCGUGUGUGAAGAAGGCCUGCGGGUUGUAAAGCACUUUUAGUGGGGAUGAAAAGCUCAGNGGCUAACACCUCUGGGUCUUGACCUAACCCACAGAAAAAGCACCGGCUAACUCUGUG
RNAcentral lists this ribosomal RNA (451 nucleotides) under uncultured bacterium. RNAcentral describes it as "bacterial SSU rRNA". It matches the Rfam family "Bacterial small subunit ribosomal RNA", at positions 64 to 507 of the family's 1533-position model. The record is from RNAcentral.